RNAcentral lists this ribosomal RNA (484 nucleotides) under uncultured bacterium. RNAcentral's name for it is "partial 16S ribosomal RNA". It matches the Rfam family "Bacterial small subunit ribosomal RNA", at positions 30 to 507 of the family's 1533-position model. The record is from RNAcentral.
AUUGAACGCUGGCGGCAGGCCUAACACAUGCAAGUCGAGCGGAUGAAGGGAGCUUGCUCCUGGAUUCAGCGGCGGACGGGUGAGUAAUGCCUAGGAAUCUGCCUGGUAGUGGGGGAUAACGUCCGGAAACGGGCGCUAAUACCGCAUACGUCCAGAGGGAGAAAGUGGGGGAUCUUCGGACCUCACGCUCUCAGAUGAGCCUAGGUCGGAUUAGCUAGUUGGUGGGGUAAAGGCCUACCAAGGCGACGAUCCGUAACUGGUCUGAGAGGAUGAUCAGUCACACUGGAACUGAGACACGGUCCAGACUCCUACGGGAGGCAGCAGUGGGGAAUAUUGGACAAUGGGCGAAAGCCUGAUCCAGCCAUGCCGCGUGUGUGAAGAAGGUCUUCGGAUUGUAAAGCACUUUAAGUUGGGAGGAAGGGCAGUAAGUUAAUACCUUGCUGUUUUGACGUUACCAACAGAAUAAGCACCGGCUAACUUCGUG